UCGAAAGGGUUGGGUCGGUGUAUUCGCGCUUAAAAUAACCUUCUUCACUCAUCCCUCUCGCUUCUCUCCAAACACCAUAGAUACAUGUUUCUUUGAAGAAGAGGGUUUUAUUUGGAGGUUCUUUUUCUUCUAUCGACACCACCGUUUCCUCGUUCUUUCAUUCUCCGGCGUUCAACAAUCCUCUGCGUUCCCCUCUUCCUCUGUUAGGUUAACGUUCUUGAUUUUUUUGUGUGUGUAUUUUAUUGAUUUCGUUUUUGUUUUUGUUAGGUAUUUUAAAUUCGGCUAAGAUCUUCAGGCCUCCCUUCAUCACUGGGGCUAUUGGGUUGUACCUUUAUUCUUUGUCGUUGUAGUAUGACGUCUGGUUCCGAUGUCAGUUUGGUUCACCGUCAUCAUCGAUCAAGAAAAAGAGUCCGUCUUUCUCCUCUGAUUUCUAGGUCACCUAAUAGAAAGCACCCAUCAAAUGAAGAUGAUUGGUCAAACAAUAGAUUUUAGAGAUUGAAAAGUGAUUUUUGGGGGCAUAAGGAAAGUAAGCUUGAAUCUUAAUCAAAUGAGGAUACUUCCAAGAGGUGUUGUGAUUUUUUUUAACAAUUUAUAUGCUGAGCUUUUUGUUUCAAGGCUACUACAAAGAUACGCUUUUAGUUCCAUUGAAUCUCAAAUAAGGGUGUUGGGUGAUUUCCGUCUUCUAUCCACUGAAUUACAAAAGAUAUGAGUCUGUAACUCUGUUUGUUUAUUUCCAGAAAUACCCCUCUGUUCCUAAAACUUGUGCUUAUAUAUAUUAUCUGCAGGAUAUGAUGGGAUUAACUUACUUCAUGUUGAAUCAAUCAAAGCAAGAUGCUGAAUAUUGCACAGAAACACCUUCAGUACUUAUUUAGUAUGCCUGGUAGAUCUUUACAUCAGGGAAGGAAAUGCCUCAUGGUGGAUUGAAAUGUUAAAAUCAAGUGGUCAAUUAAUAUAAAGAGGUGCUGAUGUAUACUUUCGUAUCUCUGAUGAGGAACCUCUUCAUUCAGCUGUGAUUAUUGUUGUUGUUACCUUUUUUUUAGCCAAACGAAUUAUGUUAAGAAAGUAUGGAUUUCAUCUCAUUCUUUCUGGUGGUGAUCUGUACAAGAAAUGGGAUCAGGUUUGGGCAAUUUUAGUAGGAUCUUCUUCAUACAAUUCAACAUAUGCACAGAGGCAGUAUGUUGUCUCAGUUAAAACAUCAGAAUACAUGUAUGUCAAAAACCAAUGGGAGAGUAUUUCUCCGGAACAGGCUAAAAGGUUUACAAAAAAUUAGAGAAAGGGAGGGUUUGAUCGAGAAAGAUGUGGGCUUGAGUGAUCUCUCUCCAUGCUAAUUCAUCACGAAAGAUGAAUCACAAGCUUUCUGGUGUUCUUUAUUUUAUUUUAUUGGAAAGCUGGUGGAACAACUACUUCAAACAAAACGACUACUUCUGUUUCCACUGGAUUCUGAUCCAAUUCAAAAACUGGCAAGUAAAUUUACUCUUUUACCCUCACAAACUACACUACUAAUUUGACAAUUUAGAGAGUUUUUUGGGAAAAAGAUGGGUCUUCUCUUUGAGAAGAAUCCUCAAUAUCUACACUCAAUACACAUGCUAAUUAUCAGCCAGAAUUACAGAUUCUUAGCCUAUAAAUCAGCUUGCUAGAGUUAUAUACAGUUAUUGACAAUAAAAGCAUGUGAUAGGAAAUAUAUUUUGCUGAAAAAUCUGAAGCAUAAAAUCAGUAUUGAAUAUAUAUAUAUAUAUAUAUAUAUAUAUAUAUAUAUAUAUAUGUGUGUGUGUGUGUGUGUGUGUGUGGAUUUGAUAAUUGCAUGUGAUACAGAGAAACUAAGGUAUUGGCAGAAAUGAAAACACACUUGCAAGAUGUAGUAAACAGCAGUUAGCGCCCAAUGCUUCUUCACAAGCCAUACUUUGUGUGCCACAGACAUUGCAUAUUGUAGGUUUCACCCAAUUAAUAAAUACUUUGAAAUGGUUAAAAUUGUGAUCAUUUGCUAAUCACUUUGACAUUUCAUUUUAAAAUUCUUUAUUUACUUGUGGUGGAGAAAAGGGAAAGAAGAUGCUCCCGAGAAUCAAAGUGUUAUAACAUAUGACUGUAAAACACUUGAUGGUUUUUUAUGGUACAGAUUUAGUUCCUUUGAAUCUGAAAAAAGGGUGUUGUGCUUGUGUUUAUUUAUUAUCUCUAUGCAUUGGAGUGGAAGCAAAAGUUUUGUGUGAAUAAAAGGCAAAAGCUAAUUAGAAACUAAUCACAUUAUCACAUUUGGUUUGAAAUUCCUAUCAAAAUUUGUAUAAAAUUGUAAAACAAAGAAAAUUCGAUGGGACAGAAUAUAUGUUAAAAACACACAUAAAAAAUAUUUGUAAAAAACCCAGUUUUACAAAUGAUUUCAUAUAAAAGAAAUUUAUUAGAAGAUAAUUUUCUAAAAAAAAAAAAAUUAAAAAACCAAGUUUUAGAAUAUAUAUAUAAAAAGAAAGUUGUAGAUCUUUCUCAUCUGAUUUCUUUUUUUUUUCUAAGAAUUGCAUCAUCAUCACUAAAAGGUAAAUUAAUGACAUGAUUUUACUUAAUUGCAGCCUUAACUAACGCUACAACCUCCCUGGGUUUCUUUUUGUUUCUCCUCCAUUUAUUUUUUGUUUUGUUGGUUUUUUG
Lactuca sativa (garden lettuce) is the source of this 2631-nucleotide non-coding RNA. The record is from RefSeq and is a predicted model, not a curated record. NCBI's taxonomy places the organism in Eukaryota, Viridiplantae, Streptophyta, Magnoliopsida, Asterales, Asteraceae.